UGAGGAAUAUUGGUCAAUGGACGCAAGUCUGAACCAGCCAUGCCGCGUGCAGGAAGACGGCUCUAUGAGUUGUAAACUGCUUUUGUACGAGGGUAAACGCAGAUACGUGUAUCUGUCUGAAAGUAUCGUACGAAUAAGGAUCGGCUAACUCCGUGCCAGCAGCCGCGGUAAUACGGAGGAUUCAAGCGUUAUCCGGAUUUAUUGGGUUUAAAGGGUGCGUAGGCGGUUGGAUAAGUUAGAGGUGAAAUCCCGGGGCUCAACUCCGGAAUUGCCUCUGAUACUGUUCGGCUAGAGAUCAGUUGCGGUAGGCGGAAUGUAUGGUGUAGCGGUGAAAUGCUUAGAGAUCAUACAGAACACCGAUUGCGAAGGCAGCUUACCAAGCUGAAUCUGACGUUGAGGCACGAAAGCGUGGGUAGCAAACA
Molecule: ribosomal RNA, 422 nt
Filed under: uncultured Rikenellaceae bacterium
Lineage: Bacteria; Pseudomonadati; Bacteroidota; Bacteroidia; Bacteroidales; Rikenellaceae
Description: bacterial SSU rRNA
Rfam family: Bacterial small subunit ribosomal RNA
Source: RNAcentral